Molecule: long non-coding RNA, 1024 nt
Filed under: Junco hyemalis (dark-eyed junco)
Lineage: Eukaryota; Metazoa; Chordata; Aves; Passeriformes; Passerellidae
Description: lncRNA (ENSJHYG00000008036.1)
Source: RNAcentral
GGACGGGGGAGCGCGCCCGCCUUUUCGGCGGGAAACCGCUCCCGGGCUCAAUGCGCGUGCGCAGUGGCGAGAGCCGAGCUGAGGGAAGCUUCGGCUGUUCCCGGCAGGUUCCGGAGACGAGAGUCUCGCUGCUCCCCGCCCUCAUCCCUUCGGGUAUCUCCGCCCCCGCUUCGCCUAUCUCCGCCCCCGCUUCGGCUAUCACCGCCUCUCUUCGUUAAGUUCCGCCGCCACUUCGGCAACUUCCGCCGGUUCGGUCGGAAAUGGCCGAAGACGUGCGAGACCCAGCGGUUUAAGGGGAGAAGACCGGCCGGCUUCUCGGAAUAAACCAACUGUGUCCGGCCCGUGGGGGGGGGAGCAGGGGAGGGCGGACGGAGCGGGAAGACGAGACAGCGGCUAUGGCUCCCCCCCCAGCCACUCGCGGCUCCGCCGGGAGGGCGAAGUGAGGGCGCCGAGAGGCUCCAGACAGAUGAGUAGAGAGCUGGCUGCAGAAGAGGGACAGAUUCCAGCUUGCCAGCUGCUCACCGUGUGCAGUGAGUACCUUCAUAUUUCAGGAAUAAAACUUUCUGUGGUGCCUGAUGUCAGCCUCAAACUGCCUCCAUUGGGGCACAGCAUUAAGUCUGCAUGCUUGGACAGUGUUCUCCUAAAAGUACAAGCUUCCUUGGCUUAACUCUUGUUUUGGGAGAAGCUGUGCUCCAGUUUUACCUAAAGUGGUAAAUUGUGUCCUCAUCCCACUUGCAGUAGUGGCAGAGCAGAGAACGGCUGCAGUUCUGCUCAGGGCUGUGGGGAAUCAGCUCUAAAGGUGUCACCUGAGGCUUCCUGUGUGGAUCAGGAGUGGAAAUGCUCCCCAGAGCUCUUCCAGCCUUGUUGGAGGUGCUGGAGCUGAGUGAGGAGGGUGCAUGAGGUUCCUGCCACGGCACAUGCCGGCGUUGCUCAUGAAUGAGUGCUGUGAAAUCAGCCCAAAUGAGGCUUGGCUGGACUGGUGGGUGGAAAACAGCAGGAAUAAACCACUGGAAAGCAUUGGCCA